AUUGAACGCUGGCGGCAGGCCUAACACAUGCAAGUCGAGCGGAGCGGCGGACGGGUGAGUAAUGCCUAGGAAUCUGCCUGGUAGUGGGGGAUAACGUCCGGAAACGGGCGCUAAUACCGCAUACUAUCAGAUGAGCCUAGGUCGGAUUAGCUAGUGGGUGGGGUAAAGGCCUACCAAGGCGACGAUCCGUAACUGGUCUGAGAGGAUGAUCAGGCAACAUGGAACUGGGACACGGGCCAGACUCCUACGGGAGGCCGCAGUGGGGAAUAUUGGGAAAUGGGGGAAAGCCUGAGUCAGCCAUGCCGCGUGUGUGAAGAAGGUCUUCGGAUUGUAAAGCACUUUAAGUUGGGAGGCGUUACCAACAGAAUAAGCACCGGCUAACUACGUGCCAGCCGCCGCGGUAAUAC
RNAcentral lists this ribosomal RNA (407 nucleotides) under uncultured bacterium. Its description in RNAcentral is "partial 16S ribosomal RNA". It matches the Rfam family "Bacterial small subunit ribosomal RNA", at positions 30 to 526 of the family's 1533-position model. The record is from RNAcentral.